AAGGCUUGCUGCGGAUUUGCUGCCAAUUUGCUCUCGUAUCUUGUGCGCAAGUGUUGCUCAGUGUUUGGUGCUUAUUUGGUGCUAAGUUAUGCGCAGCAAAACUUGCGUUGUUUUUGCUGCAAAUUUACUGCAAGUUGCCCCGCAUCAAGCCUUGACGUCAAAACACAAUCCUAAAGAGGACACAGUUGCAUAUGAUUUUGGCAUCAAGUUUUGAUCGAAUUUGCUGCCAAUUUGCGCUCAAUUUGCACUCUUUUGCUCAUUGGGAAAUUAUGAAAAUGUCCUUUGUCUCUUCUUUGUUUAUUUAUUGGACGUACUGCCCAACGACGUUUUUUUCUGUGUGCUUUAGCAGUUGAUGUUGCAUUAGCAGCAUAAUGUUAACCCAAUGAUUGUUAUAAACAUUGCACAUACAACUACCUUAUUUGAAUCCAUUUCAUUAAUACAAAGAAUAUCAAAAUAGUUAAAAGUGAGAUAAUACACGUUUGACAGUUUUUAAUAAACUCAAAACGGUAGUCUAUAUUAGAAUUUAUCUAUGAUUUACGGUAUACAGCAAACCAUUAUAAACCAGAAAGUCUAAAUUAGCGGCAUAAGUUAACGGCCGUUAAGUUACCGGCAUACGGUUACGGCCAGCAUAAAUGGGCCUUAAUUCCCUAGAACCUAUUUUCGUGAAUAAGGUAGUAAGUUUUGUUAUCUUACAGCAUACUGAAAAUGAUUUCGGAACGUGAAAACAGUACUGUCAGUACCAGGCCCCUGACAUUUGCUAUUAUAUCCUUUGUUACGGUAUGUCUACGUAAUGAAGCCAAGCCGCUACGUGGCGCUAGCAACAGUCACCAUGUGUUUACGUCUGUAAUUUCAAUGACUUGAGGACGAAAAUGUGAGAAAAGCAUGGUAAGCAGCUUUAAGGAGAAACGAUAUAGUUGUUUUGAGUUGAUAUAACUAUCAACUCAAAACAAGCUGUAUGCCAUCAUCACUUUUUAAGUAGUGAUAUUUUGUGGAAACGUGAAAUUUGUGAUGAGAAGGGAAAUGUUCUUGGUGUGUCUGCGCCAUUUAAAAUUCCAAGGCUACGUAAAGGGGUUGUGCCUUCACAAUUCCCCUGGUUUGAAGAAACCCCAAAUAUAGAAGAUAUAUAUUCUAUACAUAUUGAUCAAAAUGUACAUGACCUGCAUAUUGAACAACAUGAAGAAAAUGAACAUGUGAUAGUACCAUCAUUAAAUAAUACAAUAGAGGAUCGUACGACAAUGUUAUCAUUUGAUAGCUUAAUAGAUAGUAUAAACAGAAAACAGUUUAAUAUGCCAAGUCAAUGGAUGCACAUACAAUAUUGCAGUAGUGACACACGAUUAUUGGUAUUUUUUUUAGCAACAUGCAACAAAAUAGAAAAUUAUAAUGACAGAUAUUCAUUUAACCCUAUCAAAGAAGUCAUACUCAAAGAAGAUAUGACAUUACAAAUAAAUGUCUUAAAGCAACCCGUUUUAAAUACUCCAUCACACAUACAGAUUUAUAAUAAUAUAAAUAGAAUAGAACUGCUACAAGAGAUAUUAUUUUCUUUUGAUAGUCUUGACAUAUGUUGUGGUACAAAUAAAAGUGAGAUUAAAGAUGUUGAAUAUAAUGAAGCUUUUAAAGAUAUUAAUGGUAUAUGGAGACACAAGAAAUGUUUAUUACUUUCAUCUCAGAAAUGUAAAUUUUGUGCCAUUGCAAACAAAUCUAUAAAUCAAAAAUACCGUCGGAGAAAAAUAAUGAAAUCAAUUAAAA
Long non-coding RNA from Harpegnathos saltator (Jerdon's jumping ant), 1746 nucleotides. RefSeq lists it as uncharacterized. NCBI's taxonomy places the organism in Eukaryota, Metazoa, Arthropoda, Insecta, Hymenoptera, Formicidae. The record is from RefSeq and is a predicted model, not a curated record. The transcript has 3 exons.